AGUAAUGCUUGGGAAUCUGGCUUAUGGAGGGGGAUAACUACGGGAAACUGUAGCUAAUACCGCGUAGAAUCGGAAGAUGAAAGUGCGGGACCGCAAGGCCGCAUGCCAUGAGAUGAGCCCAAGUGGGAUUAGGUAGUUGGUGGGGUAAAGGCCUACCGAGCCUGCGAUCUCUAGCUGGUCUGAGAGGAUGGCCAGCCACACUGGAACUGAGACACGGUCCAG
Molecule: ribosomal RNA, 222 nt
Filed under: uncultured bacterium
Lineage: Bacteria
Description: partial 16S ribosomal RNA
Rfam family: Bacterial small subunit ribosomal RNA
Source: RNAcentral